UCCGAUAUAGGGAAGUCCUAACCGUGCAGUCGAGCGGUAGCACAGGAGAGCUUGCUCUCUGGGUGACGAGCGGCGGACGGGUGAGUAAUGUCUGGGAAACUGCCUGAUGGAGGGGGAUAACUACUGGAAACGGUAGCUAAUACCGCAUAACGUCUUCGGACCAAAGUGGGGGACCUUCGGGCCUCACGCCAUCAGAUGUGCCCAGAUGGGAUUAGCUAGUAGGUGGGGUAAUGGCUCACCUAGGCGACGAUCCCUAGCUGGUCUGAGAGGAUGACCAGCCACACUGGAACUGAGACACGGUCCAGACUCCUACGGGAGGCAGCAGUGGGGAAUAUUGCACAAUGGGCGCAAGCCUGAUGCAGCCAUGCCGCGUGUGUGAAGAAGGCCUUCGGGUUGUAAAGCACUUUCAGCGAGGAGGAAGGGUUCAGUGUUAAUAGCACUGUGCAUUGACGUUACUCGCAGAAGAAGCACCGGCUAACUCCGUGCCAGCAGCCGCGGUAAUACGGAGGGUGCAAGCGUUAAUCGGAAUUACUGGGCGUAAAGCGCACGCAGGCGGUUUGUUAAGUCAGAUGUGAAAUCCCCGCGCUUAACGUGGGAACUGCAUUUGAAACUGGCAAGCUAGAGUCUUGUAGAGGGGGGUAGAAUUCCAGGUGUAGCGGUGAAAUGCGUAGAGAUCUGGAGGAAUACCGGUGGCGAAGGCGGCCCCCUGGACAAAGACUGACGCUCAGGUGCGAAAGCGUGGGGAGCAAACAGGGAUUAGAUACCCUGGUAGUCCACGCUGUAACGAUGUCGACUUGGAGGUUGUGCCCUUGAGGCGUGCUUCCGGAGCUAACGCGUUAAGUCGACCGCCUGGGGAGUACGGCCGCAAGGUUAAAACUCAAAUGAAUUGACGGGGGCCUCGCACCAAGCGGUGGAGCAUGGUGGUUUAUUUCGAUGCAACGCCGAGGAUCUUUACCUACUUCUUGAACAUUCAUCAGAAUUCGCUAGAGAUAGCUUAGUUGCCUUCGGGACUGUGAGAACAGGUGCUGCAUGGCUGUCGUCAGCUCGUGUUUGGUGACACUGUUGGGGUAAGUUCCCGGCAACGAGGCGCAC
RNAcentral lists this ribosomal RNA (1092 nucleotides) under Serratia sp. (in: enterobacteria). Its description in RNAcentral is "bacterial SSU rRNA". It matches the Rfam family "Bacterial small subunit ribosomal RNA", at positions 32 to 1101 of the family's 1533-position model. The record is from RNAcentral. Lineage: Bacteria; Pseudomonadati; Pseudomonadota; Gammaproteobacteria; Enterobacterales; Yersiniaceae.